Molecule: ribosomal RNA, 253 nt
Filed under: uncultured bacterium
Lineage: Bacteria
Description: partial 16S ribosomal RNA
Rfam family: Bacterial small subunit ribosomal RNA
Source: RNAcentral
UACAGAGGUCUCAAGCGUUGUUCGGAUUCAUUGGGCGUAAAGGGUGCGUAGGCGGCGCGGUAAGUCGGGUGUGAAAGCCUGGAGCUUAACUCCAGAAGUGCACUUGAUACUGCGGUGCUAGAGGACUGGAGAGGAGACUGGAAUUCACGGUGUAGCAGUGAAAUGCGUAGAUAUCGUGAGGAAGGCCAGUGGCGAAGGCGGGUCUCUGGACAGUUCCUGACGCUCAGGCACGAAGGCUAGGGGAGCAAACGGG